UCUAGACCCUCCAGCAGAACUC
Molecule: microRNA, 22 nt
Filed under: Anolis carolinensis (green anole)
Lineage: Eukaryota; Metazoa; Chordata; Lepidosauria; Squamata; Anolidae
Description: aca-miR-5459
Source: miRBase by way of RNAcentral